Molecule: ribosomal RNA, 441 nt
Filed under: Drosophila paulistorum
Lineage: Eukaryota; Metazoa; Arthropoda; Insecta; Diptera; Drosophilidae
Description: partial 12S ribosomal RNA
Source: RNAcentral
UAUUAUUUAAAAUGUAAAUAAAUUUAUUAAAGUAGUAGUAGUUAUGUUCUUGAAACUUAAAAAAUUUGGCGGUAUUUUAAUCUCUCCAGAGGAACCUGUUUUGUAAUCGAUAAUCCACGAUGGACCUUACUUAAGUUUGUAUUCAGUUUAUAUACCGUCGUUAUCAGAAUAUUUUAUAAGAAUAAUAAUAUUCAAUAAUUUUUAAAAAAAUUUAUAUCAGAUCAAGGUGUAGCUUAUAUUUAAGUAAUAAUGGGUUACAAUAAAAAUAUUUAAACGGAUAAAAUUAUGAAAAAAUUUUUGAAGGUGGAUUUGGUAGUAAAAUUAUAAAGAUAAAUAAUUUGAUUAUAGCUCUAAAAUAUGUACACAUCGCCCGUCGCUCUUAUUAUUAAGGUAAGAUAAGUCGUAACAUAGUAGAUGUACUGGAAAGUGUAUCUAGAAUGA